This 884-nucleotide long non-coding RNA is filed under the name Dromaius novaehollandiae (emu). RNAcentral describes it as "lncRNA (ENSDNVG00000004632.1)". The record is from RNAcentral. Lineage: Eukaryota; Metazoa; Chordata; Aves; Casuariiformes; Dromaiidae.
CACUGUCAGAGGAUAAUUGCAGCUAAGUUCUAAUGUUUGCUUUGGACAGAGAAAUCUGUGGGCUCCACUUGCUUUUUGGGAUGCAUUCUGGGCUCCUCCCAUCCUCCCAUGAAAUGAGCAUAACUAAACAGUGAGAAACUGCCCCGCUGGGGCUUCUGAUUUGUUUUGCUGUAGUUGGCUACAGUCUUGAAAGCCUUUUUCUAGGGGAGUCAUGAUAUAUUAUAUCAGAUAUUAUCACUGCACUCCAUCUUGUGGAAGAGGCGAUGAUACAGACUUUGAAAUGAUCCUAUAGAGCUGUUUUGAGUAAUUAAACCCAACAAUACUUGGUUCUUACAGCCAAAGCAAGGAACUACAAAGAGCAGUGGAUGCAAAAAGGAUCUAGGAGAAAUGAUUUGCCGUCAACAUGUAAUUAAGUUCCUAGAUAUUCUUAAAACAUCUCUUCAGAGCUGAUUAUUUCUUUGACAUCUUUUUAUAUCUUUAUUGUUCAAGAUGAUACUAUUGCUAGCUGCUGAGGACAUGGACAUUCUCACAGCACUCUGCAUAUUGUAGAAUCAGCUGGCACAUGCACUUUGUGUGCGCUGUUUAAUUAAAAAAAAAGAAGACUAACAACUUUUCAAACCAUGUGGAUAGUGGAAUUUCAUCCCUGACAAAGAACCUAAAUCUUGGGCACUGGGCACUUUAAUCCUCAGUCGACCUAGCUGUACCCAAUGGAUUCGUGUACAUGUCGCUUGGAUUUAGGGAGAGGCUUAGACAACGCAGUGGUCAGUUUGCUGAUUGCCAGUUCACUUUACUGCUCCAAACUUUGCUAACUCUGUACUGGCAGUGAACUCGAAACAUUCUAGAGAAGAGGAAAAGAAGCUUCUUGUUCCCUCAGAUGAAUCUCU